AUAAUAAAUGCUUAUAUUUAUCUACUUCAAAAUUUGUUGCAGAUCUGUGAAAUACUAAGUACCCAAAAUAAAAUGCUGUCUUUUAUUAAAAGCAAAUUUCUCAUAGGUAUGAUUAAUUGCUUAGGCUUCAUUAUUAGUGAUUAAGAUAGGGGUUUUGCACUUUUCUGUUUUUGUUAUUUAGAAGCUCAGUUCAUUGAAGACAUAUUUGCAGAUUGUUUCACCAUUGCUUGAUACUUUUGACUAAGCUGAAUUUAAUUAAACUUUCUAUGGUUUCAUAUUU
Molecule: long non-coding RNA, 280 nt
Filed under: Bos taurus (domestic cattle)
Lineage: Eukaryota; Metazoa; Chordata; Mammalia; Artiodactyla; Bovidae
Description: long non-coding RNA NONBTAT026806
Source: RNAcentral